Molecule: ribosomal RNA, 233 nt
Filed under: uncultured bacterium
Lineage: Bacteria
Description: partial 16S ribosomal RNA
Rfam family: Bacterial small subunit ribosomal RNA
Source: RNAcentral
UAACCUGCCUUGGAGUGGGGAAUAACACAUCGAAAGAUGUGCUAAUACCGCAUAAUGCAGUUGGGCCGCAUGGCUCUGACUGCCAAAGAUUUAUCGCUCUGAGAUGGACUCGCGUCUGAUUAGCUGGUUGGCGGGGUAACGGCCCACCAAGGCGACGAUCAGUAGCCGGACUGAGAGGUUGACCGGCCACAUUGGGACUGAGACACGGCCCAGACUCCUACGGAAGGCAGCAG